Molecule: unclassified non-coding RNA, 357 nt
Filed under: uncultured Agaricomycetes
Lineage: Eukaryota; Fungi; Basidiomycota; Agaricomycetes
Description: sequence contains ITS1
Rfam family: 5.8S ribosomal RNA (bases 1-105)
Source: RNAcentral
GAAUUGCGAUAUGUAAUGUGAAUUGCAGAAUUCAGUGAAUCAUCGAAUCUUUGAACGCACAUUGCACCCUCUGGUAUUCCGGAGGGUAUACCUGUUUGAGUGUCAUUAAUCUCUCAAUCCAGUACAAGUUUUGCACUGAUUGGAUCUUGAAGGCUGCUGGACUAGUUGUCAGCUCCUUUUAAACCCAGGAGCAGAUCUUUCCAACCUCGCUUCAACUUGAUAAAAUCUUGUCUCUGUUGUAGUUGGAGAUUCAUAAAGAUCAGCUGCCCAAUUGUCCAUUCACUUGGACUGUCUCAUUCAAGAGGCAUACUCCUUGACCUUGACCUCAAAUCAGGUAGGACUACCCGCUGAACUUAA